This is a long non-coding RNA of Nymphaea colorata (pocket water lily), 656 nucleotides long. RefSeq lists it as uncharacterized. Lineage: Eukaryota; Viridiplantae; Streptophyta; Magnoliopsida; Nymphaeales; Nymphaeaceae. The record is from RefSeq and is a predicted model, not a curated record. The transcript is spliced from 2 exons.
UGGGAAUGCCUGUUGCAGUCGGAGGGAUAGCUGCCGUCGUCGUAGUUAGGCCACAAGCCGUGGAUGCUGAAAUCUGCCGCCGGCUUCCCCGUCCUUGGGUAGCAACAUCCUCUCCUCGUGUCACAUUUCAAACACAUGAAGGGAUCAAAUUGAUCCGGAGUACUCAGAUCCUCUUAUUAGUAGCAGUACCAGAAGACGAUGGUAGUCUGAAAAAUGUUAGUAGCAGCAAUAGAAGAUAAUGGUCAUGAUGAUGAAGCUUUACCUGCUGAACGAAGAAAAAGAAAUCAAACUCCCGGGGCAUUGACAUGACACAGGGCAACAAGAGCAGAAAGACCACCGUCGUCGUCAUCCCCAAGUAACCUGACGCAAACUCCAUCUCCAACGUCUUGGCACCACGUUAAUUACUCACAAGAACGAAGGGGAUGUGCUUGAAUAUCUCUGCUAAAAGUACUGGUGCUUGCCUCAUAAUCUCAUAUAUAGAAAAAGAAAGAGAGAGAGGCAGUAGUGCUACAUAAGUGGGAUUGUGGGAAGGCUGGUCCGGAAAUGAUACUGUAGGUUUGUCAUCAUUUUCUUAUCGUUUCGAUAGGUGUGCACUGUACUAUAAUAGAAACAGGGCAGAAUUUAUAAAGGAAUAUGCCAUAAUGAUUUCUGUGCAA